RNAcentral lists this ribosomal RNA (506 nucleotides) under uncultured bacterium. Its description in RNAcentral is "bacterial SSU rRNA". It matches the Rfam family "Bacterial small subunit ribosomal RNA", at positions 19 to 518 of the family's 1533-position model. The record is from RNAcentral.
AUGGCUCAGGAUGAACGCUAGCGAUAGGCCUAACACAUGCAAGGUCGAGGGGCAUCACAUGAAGUAGCAAUACGGAUGGUGGCGACCGGCGCACGGGUGAGUAACACGUAUGCAACCUGCCUUCAACAAGGCAUAACCCGUUGAAAGACGGACUAAUUCCCUAUAACACAGGGGUCCCGCAUGGGAAUAUUGUUAAAGAUUAAUCGGUUGAAGAUGGGCAUGCGUUCCAUUAGCUGGUUGGCGGGUAACGGCCCACCAAGGCAACGAUGGAUAGGGAACUGAGAGGUUUAUCCCCCACACUGGUACUGAGACACGGACCAGACUCCUACGGGAGGCAGCAGUGAGGAAUAUUGGUCAAUGGACGCAAGUCUGAACCAGCCACGUCCGCGUGAAGGAAGACGGCCCUACGGGUUGUAAACUUCUUUGUAAGGGAAUAGAGUGGGCCACGUGUGGCUUUUGCAUGUACCUUACGAAUAAGGAUCGGCUAACUCCGUGCCAGCAGCCGC